Molecule: ribosomal RNA, 497 nt
Filed under: uncultured bacterium
Lineage: Bacteria
Description: partial 16S ribosomal RNA
Rfam family: Bacterial small subunit ribosomal RNA
Source: RNAcentral
GAUGAACGCUGGUGGCGUGCCUAAUACAUGCAAGUCGAGCGAACAGACGAGGAGCUUGCUCCUCUGACGUUAGCGGCGGACGGGUGAGUAACACGUGGAUAACCUACCUAUAAGACUGGGAUAACUUCGGGAAACCGGAGCUAAUACCGGAUAAUAUAUUGAACCGCAUGGUUCAAUAGUGAAAGACGGUUUUGCUGUCACUUAUAGAUGGAUCCGCGCCGCAUUAGCUAGUUGGUAAGGUAACGGCUUACCAAGGCAACGAUGCGUAGCCGACCUGAGAGGGUGAUCGGCCACACUGGAACUGAGACACGGUCCAGACUACUACGGGAGGCAGCAGUAGGGAAUCUUCCGCAAUGGGCGAAAGCCUGACGGAGCAACGCCGCGUGAAUGAUGAAGGUCUUCGGAUCGUAAAACUCUGUUAUUAGGGAAGAACAAAUGUGUAAGUAACUAUGCACGUCUUGACGGUACCUAAUCAGAAAGCCACGGCUAGCUACGUG